Benincasa hispida (wax gourd) is the source of this 9936-nucleotide non-coding RNA. The record is from RefSeq and is a predicted model, not a curated record. NCBI's taxonomy places the organism in Eukaryota, Viridiplantae, Streptophyta, Magnoliopsida, Cucurbitales, Cucurbitaceae.
GAAAUCUAGAUUUGCGUGAAAUUUAAGAAAAAGGAAAACUAAUUAAAAGAAGACAACCCUUAUUCUUCUGUGCGUCCCCCCACCGCGCGCGCGUGAGUUGGCGCACACUCGUUGACCGGAAGCCCUCAGACACGAGCCGUGCACGCCGUUGCUGAUCCAGCUGCGACCGAAGCUCCGCCAACCGUCUUUCAUCCUCUAGCUCCACCGUCGUCGUCGCUGUUGUCGGUAUCCGCGACAGUUUUCGUCCGAACAACUUUGGUCUUCUCGUGUGGCCUUCUGUUCGCGCACUGUUGGUUUAAUCUUGAAUUUACGAGGUUGAAGUUGAGGUUCUAAGGCAUUUUAACGGCUGCCCAAUUCUUCGUUGGUUUAAUUUUGGUAAGUUUUGGGGUAAGUUAUGUGGGGAUUAUUGGUUUAAAUUGUGUAGGCUUUGGGGAUUGGCCCCACAAGUUGAAUUGUGUGUUUAUGGUUGGUGUUAGGGACUUUGAUUCAAGCUUUUGUUAAUUUAAGAGGAAAGUUCAACUGCUUGAUUGUUAUUUUGCUUAGGCCUAAAUCUGAGGUAAGCGCUUCGCUACCAGUUUGCCCUCAAAUCUAAGUUAUUGUUAAGUAUGAGAUUGUACUGUAAGCUGAUUCUGUGUGUUGGUUUGUACUGUUAUGAGUUACUAUAUGACUAGCUAUGUUUGACGAUUGAGGGGGCUAUGGAGGCUUAUGCUUAUGCCAUGAAAAUUGUGUUGUAUGUGAAUGAUAUAGUAUCUGAACGAUGGAUGUAUUUUGAGACUGUUUUACCCCUUUCAGGCAUGAUUAAAAAUUAUGAUCGUAUGCUUAUGACUAUACUAGACUGAUAGUGACUGUUAGUAUUUCUAUUGGGUCAUUGUUCUUGCUCGAAUCAAUGUCGUUAGUUCGACUCUCACUGAAACAAAAAUAUUUAUAAAUUACCGAAACCUACAUCUUAUACUAACAAGUAGCAUAAGCGGAAAGUACGGGAUCGAUCCACAGGAAAGGCUUGUUUAAUCUUUUCUUAAGCUAAGUUCAACUAUGAAAGCAAUAAAAAUAGGUGUUUGAUAAAGCAAGAAACAUAUUUGAAAACCAAAGGAUAAAAGAUAAUUGUAAACAAAAGUGGUUCAAUCUUAUUUCUAGUUCAAGUUAGAGAUUCAAUACAAUCUCUAUCAUUGAUUUCUACAAAUUUGUCAUACAAACGAAUUAUGCACACAACUACUCGCUUGACUCGACUAGGCUAACCUCUACAAAAGCAGAUAUCUAGUGAAAUCUAAUCAAGAAAGUGUUCUAAAUAUUGAUUAAAGUUGAAAAGGUCUAACCCUAACCAACCUAUAUGCCUCUAGUUCUAUUGGGUUCGACAGCUUCCAUAUAGAAUAGAAGACAUAUUAUGCAUUAAUUUCGAGAAUUCAAUUGUGUCGAUUAAUUGUCAAGAUCGCCAUAUUCAAUUAACUGAUUUUGUUCUUGAAUCUAGCAAUUUAUGUAUUCUAAGAGUAGUCAUCAAAUGCAAAAUUAAUCAUUGCCACUUGGUAGACCUUAGCUAGACAUUCUUAUACAUGAAUACAUCCUAGCGACAUAUCCAAUCAAGAUUGUAGCAAAACUAAGAAUCUUGGCUUAACAUGCUUAAAAGACACCUAAAUAUGAUUUUAGAACUUAAAACCGAUUUAAGAAUCCAUAAUUUUAGAAUGCAAUUUACAAAGAUAAGCAUAAAACUCAAGAAUAUUGCAAAAAUUUUUGAAACCUAGAAACAAGAUUGAAGAAAUUACUUCACAAAUCCAUAGAUAAAUCUAUGAAGAAAUCCAUUACAAUGUUUACAAUCAAAGAAAGAAAUGAAAAUCUAACUAAUUAAAGACAAAGUUACCAAGGAGCUGAACUGGUGAAGAGAGAAACUCUGGACUCUAUGACGAAUUUUGCCUCCCUCUACCUAAAAAUGAAAGAAAACGUUUUAUAGUUGCAGGUGUAGUGUCGCGAUGCUGAGGCUAGCAUUGCAACACUAAAUCGUAAAAAAAUAAAAUCAAGAAACAUUAGGCUAGGGUCUUGUCACUGCGCUUGACGCUGGGUUGCGUGAGGCGCACGUGACAGUUCCAUCAAAUUCCGGCACGUUGCGAUGUUGUUGGAAGCGUUAUAACACUGCCCUGUUUUGCAGUAGAUGGAUGCUUUCUGUCUUUAAGCAUUGCUCGACGCUUCUGGGAGGAUCAUGACACUGGGUCUAAUGGCAUUUUGGUAAUUACUUUGAUUUUCUUCAACUUUGUUGACUUCUUGGUUAUUCUUGAUCUUUUUGAGCCCAAUUUUCUCAAAAUGACUCCUAAUCGCUCCCGGGACUGUUUUGACUAUAAAAUGAACAUUAAAAGUAAACAAAUAACAUAAUUUUGAGGGAAUUAAUGUAGAAAAUAUAUCUCUCUUAAAGACCUAUCUGUCAUGCACAUCGUAUGUGGUGAGCCUUCAGGCUCACACCUUAUGCCUAUGAUUGUGUCCCUUCGAGGUCACUACCUAUGAAAGCGUGCCUUCGGGUUUGCCCCUUAUGCCUAUGCCUAUGCCCAUGCCUACGAUGCGAAAUGUGCACUUGAGUUCUGAUAGGAAUGCUAAUAGCUCAUCUAGUGGUCCCUAUAGCGGGUUGCUUACUGGGUAUAUUUAUAUACUCAUUUUUUUCUCUUCAUGUUUUUCAGGUAGAGGUAAAAAUAGACCAGCGAAUGACAAGAGGGAUCCAUGAUCCAAUCAUUGAGACAUGAUGAUGCUUCCGCACUUAUGUUUUAUUUUAUUUUAUUUUUGGCAUGAUUUAGGUUAGGUGUUUGACAUUUAAAACUUUUGGUAUUUCGUUUAUUUGUUACCCUAUUUAUUGAUUUAUUUAAUUUGUUCUAAAUCAGAGUUAGGGUGCCCAAACUGUUUUAUGAUAUUAUUAAAAUUUGAAAAGUCUCAUUCCUUUAUUUAAAAUUUCCCUUUUUGAAAUAUACAUUGUCAAGCUUAUGCAUGCAUGUAGUAGCGUCCUGGUAGCAUGGUAGAAAGUUGAGUCGUUAUAGUUGGUAUCAUAGUCUAAGUAUUAGGUUCUAUAGAUUGACUUACUAGGUGAGUCCAAAUUGUCCCAUUGGCCAUAAAUGGAUUCUUCGUCAUCGCCAGGUAUGUCCCUUAAAGGAAAGUCGUUUAGGAUUUUAUGCAUGAAACUUUACCUGAAUUGUAGUUGUAAUUGACAGAAUUUCUUGUAAGGAUUUUUGUUAAAGUUUAUUACAUGUGUUAUCAAGAGAUGGCACCACGAACAAGAAGGGGCAAUCGAGUUAAGAAUGUUAGUAGGGAGCAGGAUCCUGAAGUACAAGACCAUGGGGUGCAAAACCCAAAAGCACAAGACCCACCGCCAAUUGACCUUUAUGGGUCAACCUAUAAAAGGGUUAGAACAAGAAGUGGGCCUCAAAAUCCUAUCGUACCCCCACAAGUGUAGACAUCCUCAGAGAUCCCAAUCGAGUAUACCGUCAUGGCUGUAGCAAUUGGAGAAGUUGUUACGAAGGCUGUAGUGGGGCAAUUAAAGGACAUCAUGGUGGAAUAGAUAUUCCAACAUGUUCAGUCGCAGCAAAUACCUCCCUCGCAGGCUUUAACACCGUAAGUGUAGAAUCAGGACCAGGCUUUGACCAAAUUGUGGUAGGUAUUUCAAAGGAGGCUAUGUAUUUACGAGACUUUAAAAAGUAUGACCCCCGACAUUUGAUGGGUUGCUGAAGGACCCCACUGAGGCGGAGUUGUGGAUGUCUUCCAUAGAAGGUAACUUUCGAUACAUGAGGUGCCCAGAAGAGUAGAAAUUGUAGUUCACCAUAUUUAUGCUUGUUGAUAACGUUAAGCACUGGUGGCACUCAAUAGAAGGAAUGAUAGAUGCCAGUGGAGGCUAUGCAAUGUGGGACCAAUUCAAAGAACAAUUAUACGAAAAAUACUUCUCUGUCCACGUGAGGUACAAAAAUAGGCCGAGUUUACGAACCUAAAGCAAGGGACUAUAAUGGUGGAAGAGUAUGAGGAAGAGUUUGACAGGCUGUCUUGUCUCGCCCUCGACUUGGUGUCCACAAAAGCAAAGAGAGCUGAAAGAUUUGUUCAGAGGCUUCGAGAUGGGGUGCGAGGCAUUGUGCAAGCAUUUGAGCCUACUACCUGUGCAACAACAUUGCGUGUGGUAGCGCAAGUAGGUUGUCCAUCGGGAGUAGAGUUUUUGAUGUCCUUAGCAGUAGAACCCACCUCAGGUCAUAAGAGGAAAGUUGAUUAGAGAGCUCUGGAGCCUUCGCUGAAGGUUUAGAACACAGACAUACCACUAGAACACAUCAAGCAACAAAUUUUUAAUUCAGGAGAAGUAUGGAGGGACAUGCCUGUGUGCAAAUUGUGUGGGAAACGUCAAUGGAAAUGUUCUGAUAGGUACAGGGACUUGCUUCAAGUGUAAGUAGGCAGGACAUACGACCAACCAAUGCCCUAGUAGUGGUUUGUAAGUGGUAGGGGUCAGCUCUCGAAUUCAUAGUAGGGUACACUACAACAAAUAGACAUUUUAAUAGCAUUUACGAUAGCUUUAACUAUAAAAUGCUAUUAAAAAGGAGCGAAAAAAGAUGCGAGAAGUAAAAAUUAGGGUCAGUGCCAAAGAAUGAAAUUUUCACUCUUUUUUUUCUUCAUCCUUCCGUCUUUAUUUUCUUCACUCUUCUCCAUUUCAUUUCUCCUCCCUUUAGUUUAAGCAAAUCUCCUUAUUUUCUUCGACCCAACAUCGCCAUUUUCUCCACCUUAUUUCUCCUUCUCUGCCAUUCACAACUCCUCUGCUCAGCAAUCAAUAUCAACACCCUUUCAACAAUUAGGCAACCUAGAAAGGUAUGAGCAUCAUAAAUCCAUAUAAAAUGUUACCUGCAAGGGUGAAAUUAGGGCGGACAAGUACCCAUUGAAAGAAGUGGAUGGCUAGGCAUCGACAAUAGCAACAAAAUCCUUAUACAAUGUAGGGAACAAGCUUGAGAUUUCAUCCUAUGUUUUCUCCGAACAUUCUUAUUCUCUUGUUCCAUUCUAGCAACUCCACCACCUGGUGAUAAGUCGUUCAAGCAACUCUAACUCUAUUAUUUGCUCUGUCAUUCUUAACUCGGUUAACUUCUUAUUCCUUCUUAUUUCUCUUGGUCUGCUACAAUUAUCGGCAAGAGUGGGUUUUUUUCUCUAACCAUAGGCAAAAGGGGAGUUUUGAAUCCUAAAUUUGUUCUCCCUUAUUCUUUGUUUUCUCCUUAAUUUUUUGUUUUUGUUUUUCUUUAUGUUCCUUUGCUCUCUCGCUGCCUUUAUCGUGCCCAACUUCCAUUACAGUCGCUUCACCAUCUCAGUCUCCAAUCUAUUUAUUUUAUUUUUUGAUGGCUUUUUUUAAUGGUCGAUACCAAUGCAUGGGGACUCAAAUCUCUUCACCAAUGGCUGUUAAUUAAUAGUAUUUUUUAUUUGUUUGAACUUGACAUUUUCAAUAUCUGUUGGCAAAUCACCCACAGAAAAUUUCAAUUAGCUAUUUAAAACCCUCUAUUUUGGCCUUCGGAGAAGGUGGUGAAAUGUGGGUUUCUUAUUCUUGUUUGAUUGAAGUUCUUACCAUUGUACACAUGUAAUCGAUAAAUUUGAUGUGUUAAUAUCCCUCUGUUGGUUUAUCUUUUGUGUUGAGUCUUAAUGCAUACUGGUUUGCUUGAUAUGGGGAAAUGUUUUGAGGGCUUAUUGAGUGGGAUUGUGUAACUUUAAUUUGGAUGUUUCAAGCUCUCGCUAUUAGAAAUCAAAGUUCAUGUGCUUUUUAAUUGGUUCAAUUAUUUCUCAUGGAUUUUCAGUUUGAGAAAAUCUUCUGAUCAAAGUUCCUCAAUUUUUUCAUGUUAUUGUCAUCACCGGGCAGCUAAUUUCUCAAUAAAAAAUGCCAAUCUCUUGGAGGUUGAUAUUUUGGCAAAGAAGUUUUCAUUUAUUUCUCAAGAUUUUCACAAUUUUCGUUAGGAGUAAUGUCGUGCCAAAGGUGUAUUUCAUGAUUUGUUAGGUUGGAUUGUAGAACAAUUGUCUCAUUUAUGUUUAAUCUGUUGAAAUAUUUGUAAUUUGUGUCUUUAAGUUGCCAAAUGAUACUUAAAAAAAAAAGUUGUCAAAUGAUAAAAGUAAACAGUUUUAGACAAUUGAGAAUAGAAAGAAUAAACACUGACUUUUCUUUAUUCAAAUAAUCAUAUCGAUUCCAGAAUUGAAUUGCACACAAAGUUACUAAGAGAUUAUACACACAUUGUAAAGAAGGUAAGAACAACUUGCCAUUUAGGAGCCAAAGCAAUGUGGAUGAUUUCUGAAUGAAAUCACAUUUGGCAUGUUCACUAAUUGAAGAAACUGCAUGAAUAUUGAAUAUUGAUUGACAGAUUAGGAGGCUUUUACUUUUGUUGUGGUGCUUCCAAUAUGGCAUUGGAUUGACAAAUUUGAAUGGAAGGUUAUGUGAGCUCUAUUGAGAAAAAAAUGUGAUUGAUUACUUCUUCUAGCUUGUGUUGUGGAGUUUGGAUUCUUGGUUUGAACAUUCUUUCAUUUUUUCAUGUUUUAAAACAUUACAUAACAAAAGAAAAAGUUAACAAGCAAGAAAAGACAUAAGUACUUUUUCCUAAACUUAAUGGAGUUAUUCUGGUAACGAUGAGUUGUAAUCUCUUUCAUAUAUAUUUGUUGAUACUGAUUAUUUAUUUUGGUAGACUUAAGUACUUUUGGUAAUGUGAAAAUCUCUUUCAAUUAUUUGUUAGCAUCGAUUUAUUUUUGUAGACUUAAAUUCCUUUUCUAUUGAUGAGAAUCUCUUUUAAAUGCUUGUAUACGCUGAUUUAUUUUAGUAGGCCUACUUUCAAAUUUUUAGUCAAGUUAAAGCAGCCCUAGCUGCAAUGUAAAGGACUCCAAAAGUAAGGCAAUUAUUAUCGUGUUUUCUACCUCACCCUUGGGGGUCAUGGUUAAGAGUGGUAAGUUCUUCAAUUUUCAUGGGAGCUUUAGUGUAUAGAAAAAGUAUAAUUGGAUUGUGUCUCUAUGAUUAAUUAUAAUGUUGCCUAGACUAUUUUUUGCAAUCUCUCAUUACUUGCCAUCUUUUCCUCUUUUAGUGAGUGUUUGAUUCUUUUGUUUGUUGAUUCUAUUAAUAAAUAUUCGUAUAAUCGUUUCUUCCAUUGAAAAUGUUUUGCUUGAAUCAAUUUUUUCUCUAAGGAUAAUUUAUUUGGAAGAUUAUAACUCAUUGUUCAAAGUCUCCAACUCAUAUUUCAACUUGUAAUAGGUAAGCUUUCCUUCCAAAGAAGAGCUAGUUUUUUUUUUUUCUUUAAUUAUUUUGUCAAUUAAUUUGAUUAUAAUUAAUUAGCUGACUUUAUGACAUUGUUGUGAUCUUCUGAUCUUCUGCAAAUAGAAGGGGCCAACUGGAAUAAUUUCUUUUGUGUAUUGUUUGCAUUUAUUAAAAGUCUUAUUGUGAUCUAGUUUAUGUCUAUUGUGCUUUCAAAAUAAUAGAGUUUUUUCUUUAAAAGAAAAGUCCCUUCGCUGGUCCUACCAACAAAAAUGGGCUGCUAAAAGAAGAGAGCAUCUUCAAAAAAAGACAUCGAUUGUUAACCAUGGCAUAGAGACAUUUUUAAGGAACCUUUUUUCUGGUUUUGAUUGUUAAAAUGUUACUUGGGCAUUGUUUUGGGAGUUUGCGAGUGAAAGUGUCACUAGGUAGUUUUAAGAGUCAAAGUGUCAUUUUUAGAUGUUUUUCUUCCUAUUUUCUAUGAUCUUUAAACCUUGUGGCCUUGGGUACUUGGACAUUGUUGAAUAAUUCAAUUAAAAGACUUGAAACAUGGAGAUGAAUAUGAUUGGAUAAGUGAAAAUUAUUGACGAUUUUUAGUGUUAUGUAAGAAUGAGACUGGGGAUGAUUGGGAAAAUUUAGCUAAUAUAUUUGGUAGAGUUUGGGGGAUAAUUGAGGUUUUUCUCAAUGACGUAGAUUGAUCUGUAAACAUUACCUUAUUCUUUAUUGCAUGUUUCUUUGGGUACCUUGCAUAAAAAAAUUAUUAUAGAGUGAAUUAUGUACCCCUUUCCUUUUACUUAUGAUUCUUGGUUUAUGAUUGUUUCUCGAGCAAUCAAUAACUGAGUUGUAAUAUCGUAUUCUUUUGCGCUUACUACUUGUGUGGAUGAGCAAAUGGUUCUUGGUUUUCUUUUGCUUUUUUCUUUUUAUAGAUUUUUCAGCUAUUUUGGCUAUCAAAGAAGAUAAAUACCUGAAAUUUCAUUGUUGAAAAAGUAAUUUUAAUAUCUAAAAAACAAGUGUGGGUAGUUCUUUAGCUUUUUGGAGUUACUAAUUAAUGUAAUGUUUCAAUCUCUCAAAUAUCAAAUGCGAUGGUUUCUUAUACUUUGAACUUUAUAUUUCUCCACACAUUGAAGAUUGACAUAUUUUAGUUGAUCAUAUUAGUACAGUAUUCAUGAUUUUCCUCUUAUAAAAUAACAUAGUAUUUGAAGGUCUGUGUCUUAUGCUCCCUCUAGUUGGUCGAUGACAUCUUUUAUGAGAACGUGUGGCUUCGAUCUUCUAAUGAAGUCUUUGCUUGUGAUUCAUUAAACUCUUCCUCGAUUAUAGAGGUUUGUUUCUUCUCUUCUUAUUUCUCAUUUGGUUGUGUUGAUUAUCCCUGAUUGAAUUUUCAAUGGAUUUUAUUGGUAGGGUUUAGGUGAUGUGGUUGUAUUCUUUUUUUUUGGUGACUAUGAGCUGAUUUUUAGACUUGGGACUGGUGGUUCUGAGCUUUAUUUUGUGGUUGGGUUGUUUGAUUAGUUAUCAAGAUGAAUUCGUUUUAUGCUUCUGUUCUUAAGACUAAUAUAAAAUUGAGGGAAGAGCUUGAUGAUUAUAUUUGUUAGGAUGCUCUUUGAUCAAUUCUAUGUGAAUAAGUUGGAUGCUUAGAUGAUCAAAUUUGUGGCAAAUAAAUUUAGCAUAAAAUUGAAGGGGAAUUGAGGAUGAUUGAGAAUGUAGAUAUCUGGGACCCGUGUAUUGGGAUGAGAUGGUGGUGUACUUUAAGGCACUUUACUUUUAUACAAUAAUUUGUGGACUUCGUUAUUAAAUAAGCUUUCAUUAUUUGUAGACUUCUUUCCUUAAACAAAUUUUAACCGAUUUUAAUAAAUGAGAAUACUUAGAUGUUGCUUGGGUAAUAUGCAGUUUUUGGUGUCAAAUUGAAUUAAGAAUAGGAAAUACUUGCUCUUUGUAACUUAGAUAUUUGUGAAUUGAUUUUAAUCAUUGUGCCUAUUCUUUAUUGCUUUGAGCUAAAUAAUCAACAUUAGCUUUCUUCCAAAUAAUUAUUUUAUUACAGAAUGAUUUUAUGUUCUUGUUCUCUUAAGGGAUUGUGUUAUUUGUUCUCUAAUUCUGUUAAGUGGUUGUGCUUUUGUGUUCUUAUUUUGUUAAUAGUUGUAUCUUUGUUCCCUUAAGAAUUUAGAGAAAGUUAUGUUGGUUAUUUUUUGCAAUUACAGGUCCAAAACCAAUGCCUAGCUUCUGUUAUUCUUUAUGAUUACAAUAUAACUCCAAGAUGGAGUUUAUGAUUUUCCUUUAGAUUCAAAAGUGGUCUUAAUCAAAUUUCAAGUGUAAUAUAAUGUACCAUUGUGGGAGAUAUUAGGUACAAGUUCGAGUUUUUUCUUUUAUAUUUUUUGCACGAAGUUGACAUGUAACAAGAUUGUUUGUUUGUAUGUUUCUCGAUUUUACUUGUCUAUUUCUUUAUGGAUUCAUUUGGCAGGUUGGCUCCCUUCAAUGGGGUAAAUAACAAAUGAAAAUACAGGGUAAUUAAAGUCUAUGAAAAUACACUUCUAAUUCACCUCAUGGUUUCUCAAUUUUGUCUUUCAUAUUAGUUCUCAACGUUAAAGUAAAGUCUAUGUCCUAAUCUCCCUUCUCCGACCUUCAUAUCUCAUUUAGAUGUUGGAUUUUUGUAAGACUUGCAUUUAGACAAGAAGGAACGCUAGGCUUCGAUGGAGAUGCACAUAUCACUCAAGAUAUUUGUAUAAGUUUAAUUUUGUAUUCAUUUU